Molecule: long non-coding RNA, 2162 nt
Organism: Sarcophilus harrisii (Tasmanian devil)
Lineage: Eukaryota; Metazoa; Chordata; Mammalia; Dasyuromorphia; Dasyuridae
Exons: 3
Source: RefSeq, a predicted model, not a curated record
ACUGACUGUUAAGGUCCCUUCUUGUUGUAAACCUUGAUCUUAUAAUCCUAGCUACUGACUAAAUUAGAUAAGUAAUUUAACUUCUCAGGACCAGUUUUCUUCAAAUGUUAAAUGGGGCAUUGGCCUAGCUAGUUGCUAAGGACACAUAAGACUCUCAACUUUAUGAUCUUCUGUACUUCUGACUUAUGCAAAGUAUGUGACUUAAGACAGACUCCCUAGAAUGAGCUGCAUAGUCAAGGCAAUCAUCCAGAAAAUUCAGGCACAAAUUCAUAUUAAAUGGUCUUUUAAAUCUGAAUUAUCCAGUUUGGUUAGAUAAAUGAUUACUCAAUGGAUAAUUGCUUAACUCCCCACUGAGGCUGCUUGCUUGUAUAGACAACCCUUGGGAUAAUGGACUUACUCUUUUCUCCAAUGGUCAACCUUUCUCUGAUGUGUCUUAUUUUUGAUAAUGUUCUUAUCUUGGAAGCUGCCAGGAAAACUUCAGGAAGGAACUUGGUUCCACCCAAGCAGCUGUGAGCAGGUCUUCAAGAAUUCCAGCCUUCAGAAUGCUGUCGCAGUAAUGAACUGCUCUUAGGGAAGAAAGAAAACAUACAGUGUCAGUCAUGACUGGUGACAGGAUGCAAUUAACCCAGGAUCAAAUUGCAGAGAGAUGGAUGGGACCAGAUGGUCCUGUUAUCCUAACAAAGGGAUUAUACAAUGAUGCCAGGAGCUGACUCUACAGAGAAUCAGAAGUUGAAGAAGUCUUAAACAUGAUGAGCUUUCACAUGGAGACUCAGAGAUAAUGACCAAAGCGAAGAAAGAUGAUGAAAAAUGCAAAGAAUUGUACAGUUCUAAGAUCAUUAGAAUUGCCCAGAAUUCAACGGUCAUGGAAAAAUUAAGUUCAUAAGUAGUGUAAGUAGAUGGAUGAUUGGAUUUGGACAUAAAAGACCUGAGUUUAAAACCUGCCUUUUAUACUUAGAAGCUGUGUGACCUUCGGGAAGAUGCUUAAUUCUCUGAGCCUCAGUUUCUUCAUAUGUGAAAUAAAGAAGUUGGACUCAAUGGCUUUUAAGGUCGUUCUUUUUAAAUCCCAUGAGUUGCAAUGUGUAUCAGUAUGCUUAAUACAGUCCCUGACACAUAAUAAGUACUUAAUAAAUUGUUAUCGACUUACUGGAAGGAAUCCCUACAGUGAAAAAUUCAUGUCUAUACACAAUAAACAAAUGCACAAAUGUAACUUUAUGAUAUACAAGUAUACAUACAUAUAUACAUGUGUAUAGAUAGCUAAGCCAUAUAUAUGAUCGUGAAUACUGAAAACUUAUUUUUUUUUUAUACUCAAAACUUAUAAUAGUAACAUAGAUAUUUCCAUUUUUAAUUAAGGGAAUUGUCUGUGUAGAUAAUGCCCAUAUAUAUCCAGAUCCUAUCUCUCCUCUGAGGCUCAAUUAUUAAUCACCCAUUGUCUGGGAAUUUUAAACUGCAUAUUCUAGAGACCCCUCAAACUCAAUGUCCAAAACUCUAAACAUCUCUCCCACUAAAUAUUCACUUUUAAAAACUUUCCUGUGACUGUCAAAGGCAUUACAAUCCUUUCAGUCUGUCAUAUCUGUAACCAUGAACAUUAACCUCAACUUAUCACUCACACUACAUAUCUAGUCAGUUAUCAAAUCUUGCUGUUUCUAAUUUCACAAUAUCUCUGGCAGCCAACCCCUUCUCUCUUCUCACAUAGAUGGACCUUAGUUAAAAUUCUUAAUAGUUCUUACCUUGAUUGUUGCAAGAACCUCCUAAAUGGUCUUCCUGCCUCAAUAUUCUCUUCCCUCAAGUAUAUCCUACAUCUCACUGCAAAAGUCAUUUCUUUAAAUACAGAUCUGAUCAUGUGACUCCCCUACUUAAUCAAUUCUAGUAGUUUCCUAUUAUUUCAGGGAUAAACGAACAUUUAAAAACCUACACAUUUUGGAGUAGAUGCCCAUCAAUUAGGGAAUAGCUAAAUAAGUUACAGUAUAUGAAAGCAAUGGAAUAUUAUUGUUCUAUUAAAAAUAGAGACCCAGUUGAUUUUAGAAAGUCCUAGAAAGAUUAACAUCAACUGAUGUUGAGGAAAACAAGCAGAUCAACUAUGAAAGACGUGGUUCUUCUCAGCAGUUCAGCGAUGGAAUAUGCUAUCUGCGUCCAGAGAGAGAACUAUGAAAAUUGAAUGUAUA